UCCUCAGUCAGGAGAUCCCAGAAGGC
RNAcentral lists this non-coding RNA (26 nucleotides) under Rattus norvegicus (Norway rat). Lineage: Eukaryota; Metazoa; Chordata; Mammalia; Rodentia; Muridae. The record is from RNAcentral.